AACCUUGCAUUGAGUUAAUCCUCUGAGGACCAGAAGGGAAAUGUGGAGUGGUGCCAAGACUUGGGGUCAGAGCAAAGCUUGAGGGAAAAGUCCAGCACUUUCCUGCAUCAUCUCGUGUCUUCCUUGGUCUGCCCUCUGGUGAACCUGCACGGAGGAGCUGCUGCUGGAGAACAGCUUUUGUCUGCCACCGCCCACCUGGAAAGGCGACCCUGCAAACAUUCCCAGAGUCCUCCCCCUGGAAGAACUUGCCUGCAGAAGGGUGGAUUCCCUCCCUCAUGUCUUGUGCCCUACCAUGUAAUCUGGACCAUUCCUUUAGUUGUUUUUAUCUGAUGCUGAGGAGUCUGGAAGAAAGCCCCUGCCCAGAGGAGCUCCGCUGGAGAGCAGAAAGCACAAGGAAAACAAUAAAUUUCUUCCUGCAGCCCCCCUUUAGUUUGCCAUUUUGACUUCAGAUGCAAGCUGCCAUCAUUUACACAUGGAGCAGCCACAUGAAAAGCACCACUAAACAGUUCUCUGAGUUUCUCAACAAGAAACACAGCAGCUAAAUAUAUUUAAUCUGUGUGUAUUGUUCAUCUUGGCUUUAAUUUCCUGUUCUCAAAAGGUUUAGGAAUUUAAAUCCAUGAAUCAUUACUGAAGCUGUUAAUGCUUGGAGCCUUUUUCAGAAAUGGAGAUAAAGGAACUGAUAUUAAUACCAGCUUAGCACAAAUUCAGCCAGAACAACUCUGUGGGAACUUCCUGCCAUCCCAGAGAUACCUCUUGGUUUCUAACCAUGACAAAAGCUGCUAAGAGGUGGGUAGGUGGAUGAAAUCAUUCUCCCCCAGGUAAACAGGAUGCAUCCAUUUAAAAACAUCUCUCUGGCAGGUUAUGGGCUGCAUCACGCCCAUCUGGAGAUCUUCAGAGCACUGUACUGUUCCUCUGUUUCUAAAAUUGCAGCAUCUAUUGAAGCAGGGACUUUUUCAGAGUGCAGUCAUGAGAUUUCUCUGGGGCUGGAGGUCAUGCACUUACUCAGGCUGAAUAAAAGAUUGGAAGAAAUCUUUGCCCAGUUUCAUUUCACUGGGCUGUCAGAUGACUGGUUUUAUACCUGCAGGAUCCUCCCAAAGCCCUAACCUCAACAGGCUCCCCGAUAAGUCAGAAACAAAGUCUGGCUGUGAGAUGCUUCAGUAAAGGAUGGUGGCUCCCACUUUGCAGAUAUAACAGGAUUUGUUGGUAAAUCAAGUUAGUAAUCUUCUUCCAAGAGUCUGGUUUGGCUGGAAGAUCAUGUCAGACUUCCUUUGAAUCCUUUGGGAUUGAACACUGAAGGUCAAAACAGGAAGUCCAGGAGAACUCAUUGAAGGGUCCUAACUAGUGAUUUCAGAAGUGAAACAAAACUCUGUGGGGACUUUUCCAAUAUUUUUAUCUUGGCUUUAGUUCUAGAAUUUCAUAGAAAUAGAAAAUUACUGAGGUGGGAAGUGACUUCUGGAUGUCUUUUAGUCCAAUCCCCUAGUCACAGCAGGGCCAACUGCCUGGUUAAUAAUAUUUAUAAAUGUGAACGUUCAGAGGAAGCUGCCUCAUUCUUAUUUGAUUUGUACCUUUGGGUAGCAUAAAAGCAUAGAAACUACAAGGCAGCUGCAGGAAAAUGUUUGGAAGGAACACACUUCAACCUCCUGAGCAGGCUUGCUCUAAUGAUUGCUCUUUUAAGGAUGGAAGAGAAAUGGUCUGGUUUCUAGCAUCUUCCUUCCUCCACUUCCCUCAGGAAAGGGAAGACCCUGGUGUAGAGGAGGCAGUCCUGCUUCCUCUUGCUGCCUGUGCUGGGGGUGUGCUGGAGAGCUGCUGCUAACUGGAAAUUGUGCUGUGACUGGAGCCCUUGCUGCCCAACAAGUGUAUGGUGGGAGGAGGGAUGGGGACAAGGGGCAGGAGGCAGAGCAGUGUUGUGGCAGCUGAGGAAUGUGCUGGCUUGGGAAGGGCCUGGAUCUCCAGCCAUGCUGUACCAAGUCAUUCCAUGUCCUGGUGGUGAUGGAGCUGCCUCAGGCUUGUGCCAAGUGAAAGCAGUACCCUGUUUGGGAAGAACUGCACUAUUUGCUUGUACAUUUAUGAAAAUAGAGGUGAACUCUAAUGAGGAAUGACGACAUGCCUACAAAUACAUCUGUAUUUUUUAUUUUUCUCUUCUAAAACUUUAAAGACAAAGUGUUAGAGACCUACCAAGCAAAAUGCUAAGAAAUGCAUCCCCUAAGAGCUGCAGCUCCCAGUACCAGACAUGGUGGCUGAGUCCGAGUACCUCAGGGUGUUCCUUAUGGUCCUUCCAGCAAAGCACCUGUGAGCACAUUCUGGGCAGUUUGGAUUCCCUCCAAACUCCCAGCAGAGCCCUGUGACAUGCUUGCUUCUCAUGAAGGAAAAGCCUCAGUCUCCUCCUCGCCUCUGUUUUCCAUCAUCAGGGAGCUCGAGUGUCUGAGGCUGCAGCCCAUGGCUGUAUCUCUUCCUUUCAGAGAGUGCUCUGGAGCCACUCCUGCCCCUGGAACAAGUGCACUCAGAGCCAGAAAGCAUCAGGCUCAGUCGGAGCCUCUGGGGCUGUCUCUCCAUCUGUUUGUUUAAUGACGCGCAGCAGCCUCAUCUCCGACUUCGCCCCUCAGGACAAUAAUCCACUCUGAUGUUUAGGCCAGCCAGCUAUUCUUCCCAGACCAGACUGUGGUUGGGGCACUGUAGGCCAGAGAAGGCUUAAAAGUCUUUUAAUGAAUAACUUUAUGGCUCAGAAUGUUGCUCUGAGAUCUGCAGGACACACAGAAUUCUCGCUGGAGUUUGCCCGCUUGUUUUCUGCUGAAAGAAGGGAUGCGCCUCAAAAUCCAGAUAUGCUGAUUCCUGAGAUCACUGAGUGAGAGUGGCAAAGAUUUAGGGAAGAGAGACUUCACCAAAGUGCUGGUUUUAAAAUCCUCAUUUUCUUUAAUUGCUUGGCUUCCAUGGUCUUUGGUGUGAGAAAGUGGAAUGGAUUCUUUCUAUACCGAUGUUAAGGUGUCAAAAGGAAAGAGUGGCAGGGGCCCUAAUCCUAACCAUAUCCCCUUAGGAAUGCCCAGGUGGUACUAGUCUGAGUGAAAUACCCCCAGGAAAGGAAACACAUCCAGGGAUGUUCUUUGGGUUUAGUGCCCUAUUAAAUAAGGAGAAAUGUACCCUUGGGAUCAAAAAAGAAAAUAUUUGUCUUUUCCAUAGUCCAUAACUAGGUUUUACCUUUUGUUUUGGAGGUGGAGAUUGUGUGCAGUAAUUCCAGCAUGCUGUAUCUCACAUUGUGUCUCUCAGGCAGAACAAAGAGGUUACCCAGCUACUCUGGUUCUGUUCCCGAGCCCUUCAACAAAAAGGGGUUCUGUUCUGCCAUGUGCAACCUGGGCCUAGGGCACUGUGAAUAAGAUUUUCUGAAGCAGGUGACCUUAAGGUCUUUUGUAAGAUCCAUGUGCUCUUGGCUUACCAUGGGACCAGGAGAAGAUGCUUCUGGAGUCCUAGAGAAAGAGGUCUGGGAAUGGCAGGGGCAGCUACUCCACCUGCUCUGCCAUCGAGAAACUCACACCAGCCAAAAAUCCACAUCCGAACAUCUGCAGUGAGUGGCAAAGGCAGUGCCAGGCUGGAUGAAAUGCAAGCCCUGAAUUACAGAGACAGAUGGAGCGGGGUAAGAGGGAGGCAUGGGUCAGAGGAAAGCAGCAGCUGAAGCAUGAAGGGAGCUUUCUCCAGGGCGGAGGAGCAGGAGCAGUUUUCUUCUCGGAGCCAGCCGUCACCCAGCGUGGUGCUGAGCACAGGGGGCACUACCCACGCGAAGUCGCCAGCAGUGCAUCAACAAAAGCCCUAAUGAAGAACAGAGCAGGGUUAUCACUCACCCAGGAGCCGCAGCUCUGCCAAAAGAGCCACGGAUGAAGAGCACAGAUGGGAGCACGUGUCUGCACCCACCCACCCGUGUAAGUGCGGGAUGUGUGCCCAGGGCACACUGCCCUGCUUGGGUCUGCUGUCCUGAGGGCUUCCAUACAAAAGCUUCUCGAUUUGCUUGAGCCUGUGUUCAGCCAAGGAGCUUGAUUUCAGUGAAACAAGGUCAAACCCUCCUAAAACCAGGAGCCAAGGGCAAUUUGGAAUGCUUGAAUUGAUUCCAUUGAGUGGCAUCUGGGAGCUUGAACAUUUUAAGAUGCUUCCACUUAAGGCAUCAUUAACUGAUGGUGAAAGCCAG
Taeniopygia guttata (zebra finch) is the source of this 4171-nucleotide long non-coding RNA. The record is from Ensembl. Lineage: Eukaryota; Metazoa; Chordata; Aves; Passeriformes; Estrildidae.